This 76-nucleotide microRNA precursor is filed under the name Myotis lucifugus (little brown bat). RNAcentral describes it as "mir-9229 microRNA precursor family". It matches the Rfam family "mir-9229 microRNA precursor family". Lineage: Eukaryota; Metazoa; Chordata; Mammalia; Chiroptera; Vespertilionidae. The record is from Rfam by way of RNAcentral.
GAGACAUCCUUAUGGAGCAGGACUUGCUUCAGUGGGGCUUUGGUGUUCACUGAGUCAGCCACUUGAGUGUGUCACU